This is a long non-coding RNA of Brassica rapa (field mustard), 4828 nucleotides long. RefSeq lists it as uncharacterized. Lineage: Eukaryota; Viridiplantae; Streptophyta; Magnoliopsida; Brassicales; Brassicaceae. The record is from RefSeq and is a predicted model, not a curated record.
CGAUCUGAUGAGAACGAUUCUUGGCCGGACAUAUAUCAUGCCAUGAUCCAUCGCUAUAUUUUGUUUGAACAACCAAGGUGAUCCAUCGCUUCCAAUAAGGUAUUCUGAUGCUGCAUUCCCGUUACUUCUUAUAUCCUUUUUACUAUCCCUUUAACAAAAAUAAAGUUUCCAUCCACUUUUAUGUAGGCGAGAGCCAGGGGAAGAGGUAGGCUUAAAACUCUUAACGGUUGCAUUUGAGAAGAUAUUCCUGUUUCUGCAGUAAUGGUUUGUUUGCAAUUUCAUUUGCUUGGCCUGUGAGAUGCAUGUUCUCUGUUUUCAUAAAUAUUUCGUUGGUAGCUCAAAUUGUUUAGCUUGAUUUGUAUGGUAGUCGCAUCUUUAAGCUAACUUGGUUUCUCUUACUGAAAUAACCACGCUGAUUUAUUACUCUAACAAGUCUCACGGAGAUAUAAUUCUUAUGUGCCAUCGGGUUGCUUUUCUUUUAUAUAGUUUUUAGUGUGUCAUAAACGAUUUUAAAUUCAUAAAUAAUGAGUUCAAUGAAGUGUUCUGCAUCCAUUCCCGUUACAAGCUUUUAUUUUUCAUAUGUGAAAUUUCUUUCUUCUUAUUUACCAAAACAAAAAAAGGGAAUUUUCUUCUUCCGAAACUGUAAGUUUUAGUGCUGAUAUAUAUUAGAUAGAGAAAGACUCUUCUGUAAAUAUAUCCUUAUGAAGGAUACAUAACUUUCUUGCCAAGGAAGAUCCUGCCUAUGUGCAAUAUAAUGUAAAUGAAAAGUAAGAAAACUAUUACAUAAUUAGGCAGAGGUACAUUGUCUUUUAUGGUUUCUUUUGUGAGUAUAUUUCAUGAAAUAUAUAUAUUAACAAAGAGAAGAUGAGAACUUUGUAUCACAUAUCCAUUUGUAAGCUACAGGUUUUGUAUAGAAAAUUCUUUAUCUUACAAAAUAGUGUUUCUUCUUUGUUGAAGGUUCCAUGUGAACACUAAGGCCCCGAGUUUGUCUAUGCAGUAAUGUAGAAGCAACUCCAAAGAUAUUCUCCUCUCUCCCUCUAAGCAAAGGUAGUAAUUUUUCAUAUGUAUUACUUUGAUUUCUUUGUUUUAAAUGUACGAAAAACUCAUGUAUUAUGUUUCAUAUUUGCAUUUUGUGAUACCUUUCUUGACUAUGCAGUAGACAGAACUGGUGCAGAAUUUCACCUCUGUUAUGUUAUUAAAGGUUGCAAAAGAUGUAAUCUACAUGAGGCAAUUACAAAGAAGCAAUAAGACAUGCUCAUGUUUUUUACAUAUUAGGAGCUCCUGGUAUGUACCAGCUCAGAGUAACCUUUGUUGCAUACACAUGGCAAGUUUAAGUAUGAGCCUGGUUAUACAUUGUGAUUGUUAAGGUAGUUUUUAUAAAAAAAGAUUUAUAAUUAUUCCAGGUCACAGACAUGCUUGGUCAUAGCCUCUAGGAUGUUUGGAACGACUCAAUCGUAAGCAAUUUGAUCAUGAUUUUUGUUCAAACCAUACCUCCUCAUGCAGGUAUUCUAAAUUUAUUAUCAUGUGUAGUCUUUUUCAACUUAUUUGCUCUCUUUUAUCUCUGCCACGUUUUGUGAAAUAUUUGUACUCUUAUUAAAAUAUAUAAUCAUUUAUUUCAGCAUCAAGAUGGAAAGAUUCAAACUCUGGCCAGCAUGUUGAAUAUGGUCGAAGAUGGGAUGUCUUCAGAGGAAUAAUAAGGUAUGCAAGAUGUCGCACAUCUAGGUUGUGCCAGAAGCCGGAGGGAUGAUCUAGAGUCGUCUGAUGUAUACAUUAAUAUUUCUGAUGCUGGGAACUUGGGAAGGUUGUCAUGGCAGAGUAUCAGGUGAGUUUUCUAUCGCUGUAUUCACAACCUAAACUCCUUUAAGUUUCUCCUCGAUGAUAUAUGAUCAUUAUAUGAAUGGUUAUAACAAUAGCUUGCUUGGGUUUACACCACAAAUGGGACACAAUUCGGAGACGAGUGUUUUCAGUCAAAUAUAAACCGUCAUGUAUAGAUACUACGCUAAGUUUAAUCACCUUCCAUCAUUUACCAUAUUUGGCGUUUGGUGGUCUUUUUAGCACCCUUUAGCCCAAAUCUACUAUGCCUAGAUACUAAAGCAAGCAAGAUAUCCAAAUUUAUCGAUGUGUGUUUCCUAUGUUGUUUGACUACAUCCAUUUGAUAGAUUUUUUUUGGCUGACUACUCAUUGGCCACAUGUAAAGAACAUGCGGGGAGUGUACUUUCGAUAUACGUAACUCUGCUGACACAAGGUAAUAUUUCUCUACGUUAAUCAAUACAAUUUUUUGUUUUUACCUUCUUAUCAUCUGACCUCCAUUUUUAACAUUUUCAGAAAUUAACAUUCACGUUUCUACAAUUGUAACUAAGUAACUUUGGUUUGGUUCCAUUUUCCUUAGUUUUGGUUUGCUCAUAUUGGAUUAAAAAUAUUCAAUGAAUACUGACUUUAAUUAUUAUUACAAUAUAUUAUUAUUAUAAAUUACAUACUUUUAAAAGGAUAACAUUUAUUCAUUUUGUUUUGGUUGAACUAAAGUUGAUUUGGUCUGUUUAGUAUUUGUCUAUCCUUUUUUCUUUUAAAUAUUGUUUACUUUUGUAUUUAUCGAAUAGGUUAUUUUUGGUUUAUAUACCUUUUUAUAGUAAUUUUUGGUUUAUACUUUAUAUACAUGUCACUUUGUUGUACUCCACUGCGUUCCAAUAUUGAUAGUAUGAAACUAAUCUUUAAUCCAAUUGUUUUCUCAGGAUGAUAAAAUCUUUUGCAGAUGAUAAAAUCUUCUGCGGCUUAGGAAUGCGAAAUAAUAUUGGGCACAACAAGGUCAACGUGGAAAAGAGAUGUUCGAACCAUUGAAAUUUGGAAAUUUUUUACUUUCUUACAAACAGGAAGCAACAUUUAGGGCUUAGACAAAGGCUUCAUGUAAUUUUGGAAGCAGUGGUAAGAAAGAGAACAAUAUGUUAUUUCAUUAUAUUUUUGUAUAGUGUCAAGUUGAAGCUUGUGCUAACCAAUCUGUGAAAUUAUUAUAGUAAGUAAUCUAUGAAAUUACAAUAUAUAACCUCUUAACUCAAUUUGAUCUACAUGAAGUAGAAUAAAAAGUAACACUACAUUAAUCUACAUGAGAGUUAUGGAGUUCAAGAUAGACAGAAAAAAAAACAACUUCAAUCUACUUUUCUCAUAUUUUUUUCUUAGUCGUGAUAUUAGUUUUUCAUAAAAUAUCAUAAUAGUUUACGAUAAAUUUUUGUGUUUUGACCAAAUCUACAUUAUCUAUGUAUUUGAAUAUUAUGGAAAUUAUGAUUUUUUUUAUAAAUUUAAUAAAAUUAAAAAAAGUUCUCCUAAUUGUAAAAACUGUCAAAUCACAUUAAUUAAUUUUUGUUAUAUUCAUUUUUAUUCACUUAAUUUUUAGAUGUAUAGUGAAUUUUUCUUCAAAAGAUAAAGAAUCAGAAAUCAAAUAAAUUAGUGAGUAUUAUAUAUGACUAAAGAAAAAAAGGAAUCAACUAAUUUUAAAAACUACAGAAAAUUAAAUAAAAUUCAUCUAUCAGUUGUCCCAGACGAAUUUUUGCAGGUUUUAACAGAUUUUUAAAUAACAGGUUUUAGAAGAAGAAAAAAUUGGAUUGCAUAUCCAAUAACCAAAUUAUUGGUUCGAUCACGGAUACACGUCAAAUUUAAAGUCACUGAAAUAAAACACCCACUUUACCCAAUUUAAAGUCACUUAAAUUAAAAUCUAAGUUUCCUUAAAAUUUAAAUGCUGUAAUCUUAAGUGAAUAUAUAAAUUUACAAAUUUUAAAGGUUAACAACAAUUUCAUGACAUAUAAAAGUUUCUGACUUAUAAACCUAUGUUAAACGGGGCAGUUUUUUUUUUUAGGUCUGAGGCUACAAGGAAUUUAAUUAUAGGACUUAUUUGUGAAAUAACCAAAAAAGAGAAAAUUAGAUUUUUAGAGAGGGAAGAGAGAGAUAGGAAGAGAAUGGAGGAGAGAGGGUAAGAUUUUGGUUAAAUAGUGAAUUAUGGUUUUUUUGGUGUUAUUAAACCCAAUUUCCCUUAGUUAUAUUUACGCUCAAGUAGUCAAGUUGGUUAACUUUAUAAAAACAUUUCUAUGAGUUUUUAGUAAGAGUUAAUAUUGGCUUAUAUACUAAUAGUUUUUGUUUACAAAAUUUUAAUUUUCUUAAACCUAUUAGAUUUAGUAAAUAACGCUGAAAUAUUUUAAUGUAAUCAAACCUAAAAUAUUAUGAGCAAAUAUUGCAUCAUGGACAAAAACGAGCCUUUAUCAAUAACAAAAUCAUGAAUAGUCUGCUAAAUUUUUACAUUUCUCAGACAUUUAUCUCAAACACAACCUUCAAAGUCUUUUUCCUCUUCUUUACUCUCACUGAAUACAAAUAACUAAAACAAAUUACAAACUGAUAAAACUAUUCACUUUUACAAAACGAAAUUGGAGGCGAAACAAAAUACUUAGCGAAUCUCUCAAAUGGUUCCUAACUUUAAUAAAGAACUCAGACAUGUGAACAUAGUCUUGGAUGUUAUAACUUUUGCAUUAUCUCAAGAUAGAGGAAAAAUAAUUGUUUACCUAGAACAUCCAUCGAACACUAUCAUGGGCAAAAACCCGGGCGUAGCCCGGGAAAAAACUCUAGUAAAAAUAAAAGCAAAAUAAAAAGUCCAUGCUCUCAACCGGCUCGUAACCCAAAACGUCACAGACUCCGCAACAAUGGCAGAGAAACGCAUUAGCAAGAAAGAAACUCUUUGUAAUACCAGCGAUGUUUGUUCAUCCAAUUCACUCCAAACAUGAAAAAUUAUUAGAAAAAAAAACUGCUCUAGACAAGAAGCACAUGAGAGAUAAACAGUGGCGAAGCUAGA